This 497-nucleotide ribosomal RNA is filed under the name uncultured bacterium. RNAcentral's name for it is "partial 16S ribosomal RNA". It matches the Rfam family "Bacterial small subunit ribosomal RNA", at positions 28 to 507 of the family's 1533-position model. The record is from RNAcentral.
GAUGAACGCUGGCGGCGUGCCUAAUACAUGCAAGUCGAGCGAACAGACGAGGAGCUUGCUCCUCUGACGUUAGCGGCGGACGGGUGAGUAACACGUGGAUAACCUACCUAUAAGACUGGGAUAACUUCGGGAAACCGGAGCUAAUACCGGAUAAUAUAUUGAACCGCAUGGUUCAAUAGUGAAAGACGGUUUUGCUGUCACUUAUAGAUGGAUCCGCGCCGCAUUAGCUAGUUGGUAAGGUAACGGCUUACCAAGGCAACGAUGCGUAGCCGACCUGAGAGGGUGAGCGGCCACACUGGAACUGAGACACGGUCCAGACUCCUACGGGAGGCAGCAGUAGGGAAUCUUCCGCAAUGGGCGAAAGCCUGACGGAGCAACGCCGCGUGAGUGGUGAAGGUCUUCGGAUCGUAAAACUCUGUUACUAGGGAAGAACAAAUGUGUAAGUAACUAUGCACGUCUUGACGGUACCUAAUCAGAAAGCCACGGCUAACUACGUG